This 392-nucleotide ribosomal RNA is filed under the name uncultured bacterium. Its description in RNAcentral is "partial 16S ribosomal RNA". It matches the Rfam family "Bacterial small subunit ribosomal RNA", at positions 523 to 918 of the family's 1533-position model. The record is from RNAcentral.
CUACGGAGGGGGCUAGCGUUGUCCGGAAUCAUUGGGCGCAAAGGGUUCGUAGGCGGUAAUACAUGUCAGAUGUGAAAUCUUGUGGCUUAACCACCUCAAGCAUCUGCAACUGUAUAACUUGUGUGAAGGAGUGGUAAGUGGAAUUACUAGUGUAGCGGUGAAAUGCGUAGAUAUUAGGAAGAAUACCAGUAGCGAAGGCGACUUACUGGCCUUUAACUGACGCUGAGGAACGAAAGCGUGGGUAGCAAACAGGAUUAGAUACCCUGGUAGUCCACGCCGUAAACGAUGAGUGCUAGGUGUCGGGUGUCAAAGCUCGGUGCCGCAGUUAACGCAAUAAGCACUCCGCCUGGGGAGUACGUACGCAAGUAUGAAACUCAAAGGAAUUGACGGGG